RNAcentral lists this ribosomal RNA (496 nucleotides) under uncultured bacterium. Its description in RNAcentral is "partial 16S ribosomal RNA". It matches the Rfam family "Bacterial small subunit ribosomal RNA", at positions 28 to 507 of the family's 1533-position model. The record is from RNAcentral.
GAUGAACGCUGGCGGCGUGCCUAAUACAUGCAAGUCGAGCGAACAGACGAGGAGCUUGCUCCUCUGACGUUAGCGGCGGACGGGUGAGUAACACGUGGAUACCUACCUAUAAGACUGGGAUAACUUCGGGAAACCGGAGCUAAUACCGGAUAAUAUAUUUAACCGCAUGGUUCAAUAGUGAAAGACGGUUUUGCUGUCACUUAUAGAUUGAUCCGCGCCGCAUUAGCUAGUUGGUAAGGUAACGGCUUACCAAGGCGACGAUGCGUAGCCGACCUGAGAGGGUGAUCGGCCACACUGGAACUGAGACACGGUCCAGACUCCUACGGGAGGCAGCAGUAGGGAAUCUUCCGCAAUGGGCGAAAGCCUGACGGAGCAACGCCGCGUGAGUGAUGAAGGUCUUCGGAUCGUAAAACUCUGUUAUUAGGGAAGAACAAAUGUGUAAGUAACUAUGCACGUCUUGAUGGUACCUAAUCAGAAAGCCACGGCUAACUACGUG